CGGGCUAAAUUUGUGGCUUUACCGUGUAGCAGUGACGGGCCAAAUUUGUGGCUUUACUGUGUAGCAGCGACGGGCCAAAUUUGUGGCUUUACCAUGUAGCAGUGACGGGCCAAAUUUGUGGCUUUACUGUGUAGCAGCGACGGGCCAAAUUUGUGGCUUUACUGUGUAGCAGCGACGAGCCAAAUUUUUGUCAUGAUAAAGACCCCCAAAAUAGAUGACACAUAAACUGAUCACAAAUGCUUUGAUAUAUAUUAUGGAAUGGUGUGUGUGAGUGAUGAUUUUUUUCCCAUUAAUUCGCUUAGAAGGGCCUUUAAUUAAGAAACAUGAUCCCCACAGCUACCGGGUUAAGAAUGGGAAAAUGUAAAUUAGGGAGGAGUAAGUAGUUUUAAGUAUUAUAAGUAAAUGCAAUACGUAAAACUUCUUAUUCCUCCCCGAUUUACGUUUUCCCAUUCUUAAUUAAAUUCUGGCAUUACAAGAGCAAGCAGGAAAUAGGGCAAUAAAUAGGCAAAUAUGACACAAUGCAUCAUGGAGAACAUCAAGGCUGACAAACUGAUCCUUGCUUCAUGCCUCAGCCAGAGAGAAGGUCAGCCUGUUUCAUCUUAAUUAUGUAACUGAAAUUAAUCUUGUUUUAACACAAAAACAAACAAACACAGGCAUAGGAAUAAAUAAGCUGAUCCUUGGUUCAUGCCUCAGCCAGAGAGAAGGUCAACCUGUUUUACUUUUAUUAUAUAACUGAAAUGAAUCUUGUUUUAACACACACACACACACACACACACACACACACAAACACAGGCAAAGGAAUAAAUAAGCUGAUCCUUGCUUCAUGCCUGGGCCAGAGAGGUCAGCCUGUUUUACUUUUAUUAUAUAACUGAAAUGAAUCUUGUUUUAACACACACACACACACACACACACACACACACACACACACACACACACACACACACA
Eriocheir sinensis (Chinese mitten crab) is the source of this 945-nucleotide long non-coding RNA. RefSeq lists it as uncharacterized. The record is from RefSeq and is a predicted model, not a curated record. The transcript is spliced from 2 exons. NCBI's taxonomy places the organism in Eukaryota, Metazoa, Arthropoda, Malacostraca, Decapoda, Varunidae.